RNAcentral lists this ribosomal RNA (110 nucleotides) under Microcebus murinus (gray mouse lemur). The record is from RNAcentral. Lineage: Eukaryota; Metazoa; Chordata; Mammalia; Primates; Cheirogaleidae.
GUCUAUGGCCAUACCACCCUGAACGCGCCCAAUCUCGUCUGAUCUCAGAAACCAAGCAGGGUUGGGCCUGGUUAGUACUUGGAUGGGAGAAUGGCUAAAAGUAAAGGACU